This 345-nucleotide unclassified non-coding RNA is filed under the name soil metagenome. RNAcentral's name for it is "partial contains 5.8S ribosomal RNA, internal transcribed spacer 2, and large subunit ribosomal RNA". The stretch from base 1 to 120 matches the Rfam family "5.8S ribosomal RNA", at positions 35 to 154 of the family's 154-position model. The record is from RNAcentral.
GAUGAAGAACGUAGCGAAAUGCGAUACGUAAUGUGAAUUGCAGAAUUCAGUGAAUCAUCGAGUCUUUGAACUCACAUUGCGCCCCCUGGUAUUCCGGGGGGCAUGCCUGUCCGAGCGUCAUUGCUGCCCUCAAGCACGGCUUGUGUGUUGGGCCUCCGUCCUCCUCCCGGGGGACGGGCCCGAAAGGCAGCGGCGGCACCGCGUCCGGUCCUCGAGCGUAUGGGGCUUCGUCACCCGCUCUUGUAGGCCCGGCCGGCGCUUGCCGACACAUCAAUCUUUUUUCCAGGUUGACCUCGGAUCAGGUAGGGAUACCCGCUGAACUUAAGCAUAUCAAUAAGCGGAGGA